Numida meleagris (helmeted guineafowl) is the source of this 1698-nucleotide long non-coding RNA. RefSeq lists it as uncharacterized. NCBI's taxonomy places the organism in Eukaryota, Metazoa, Chordata, Aves, Galliformes, Numididae. The record is from RefSeq and is a predicted model, not a curated record. The transcript is spliced from 3 exons.
CCGCCACGCCGGCCGAGGGGCGCCGCUGGGCGAGGAUCCCCUGCAGCACUCGGGUACGCGAAAGCUUGCGUUGUGUGAAACUGUUCCCGCUGCAGUGCUGGAUGCUAACGUGAAAUACUCCCGUCUGCUGUUUCUCUCAUUUUCUCUCACUGUAAUUUUGACGGUAGUUGUGUUUUUUUUUUUUUAUUUUUUUUUGGCCUGUAUCUUUAACAGGGAAAAGAGCCUGCAGAAGGUUCAACUGAACGUGCUGUAUGUUACACAUGUGACUAAGUUCAACAGCAAGAUGGGAUCACUCAGGGUAUUAUUAAAACCACGAGUAAGGCUCUUGCACCGAGUGGCUGACUCAGGAUCAAACAAACGCUUUCUGGCUGUAUUAGAGGGCUGUUUGGGAAAAGUGCCAAAAUGGGAUUAUGAUUUGGACAGGAAAUUAGGUUCUGUAGUAACCCAGCUACAUUUGUAAGCCCCCAGGCUCUUGAAGUGCACUUUGAUGCUGGCCUCACCACAGCUGUUCUCUCUUUCACUACAAGUGUAGAUCUGAGUCACCUGUGGGGGGAUGGCAGAGAAGGGAGUUCUGGAUACCCACAGCUAUGCAUCACAUGGCUGCCACUCACUGGAGCAGGGCACUGGCCUUCAGAGAUGUGUCACAGCUCUGCCACUCAGUCCCAUCUCCUAACCUGUCAGCAAGUGCUUUCCACAUCUAAAGUGUGCUAAGUAUUCUGCUUCCUAGAAAUCAACCUGUACUUGAAAGGUAUUCUACAAUAUUCCAAUGAAGAAGGCUACAUAGUGCGCAGCUAACAAUGGUAUGCUUUCUGGAUUCUAUAUAAUAAGUAAGACAUACGGCUAACUGUGGGCUUCUGUAUGUACAAGAUAAAAUACUGUUAAUAAGAAGAUUACUGAAAGCUGAUUGAAUCAAGUCAUUCGUUGUGGAAGGACAUGGUGGGUGGAAAACCCAUUCACCUGCUGGGCUCAAAAAGUAAUGAACACUGGUUUGAAAUCCAUAUAGCACUGGGUUACUAAUGGCAUUCCUCAGAGGUGGGUAUUGGGAGGUAUUUAAAAUGUGAUUAGAGAAGGCUCAGAGUAGCUUGUUCUAACCUUGAAGUUUUCCUUUUUCCUUUAAGUUUUCCCCCAUCAGGGGCUGGGUUGGACCAGAGAUCUCCAGAGGUCAGUUCCACCCUGAAUUAUUCUAUGAUUCUGUGACAAAAGAGUGGUGAAGAAUGAACUCAGAAUGUUGUUUGAAGGGAGGGAAACUGCAGUCAGCUGUACCCACAUCUUGAUGAUCAAUGGAGGGCAACUGCAUAAACAAGAUAAUAUGGUUUGCAAGAAGACUGAACAACAUCAGGGUAGCAUAACAGUACUCCUUCAUAUUCACCUGCCUCUUUGAUGUAUAGAAACCAGAAAGUAAGUUGAGGCUAUUAUUUGGGGUCUGUUUAUCAAUGCAAGCUACAGUAUGCAGAGAAACCUGUCGCCCAAGAUCCUGGAGAACAAAGUGGUGAACAAAAAACCAAAGCUUUUCUGUCCUGGCCUAAAGCUGCAGUACUGCGCUGUACAGGAGAGAAGAAUUCCAAAAAAGCUCUCAUCAUCAUUCUAUCAAGAAAAAAAUGGUUCUGCUUCUUAGUACAGUAAGAUAAUCUUUUCCUCACUGUUCUUUUUCACAAUCUCACUGAUUUAUUUUUUUAAAAAGAUUUUGGGCAAACUAAG